GCUGGGCAUGGUGGCACAUGCCUGUAAUCCCAGCCAUUUCAGAGGCUGAGACAGGAGGAUUGAUAGUUCAAGGCCAGCCUCAGCAACUUAAUGAGACCCUAAGCAACUUAGUGAGACCCUGUCUCAA
RNAcentral lists this small RNA (127 nucleotides) under Marmota monax (woodchuck). The record is from RNAcentral. Lineage: Eukaryota; Metazoa; Chordata; Mammalia; Rodentia; Sciuridae.